GGUUUCGUGGUGUAGUUGGUUAUCGCAUCUCGCUCACACCGAGAAGGUCCCCGGUUCGAGCCCGGGCGGAACCA
This 74-nucleotide transfer RNA is filed under the name Fusarium poae. It matches the Rfam family "tRNA". Rfam says of the family: Transfer RNA (tRNA) molecules are approximately 80 nucleotides in length. Their secondary structure includes four short double-helical elements and three loops (D, anti-codon, and T loops). The record is from Rfam by way of RNAcentral. Lineage: Eukaryota; Fungi; Ascomycota; Sordariomycetes; Hypocreales; Nectriaceae.